Molecule: long non-coding RNA, 241 nt
Organism: Saccostrea cuccullata (small rock oyster)
Lineage: Eukaryota; Metazoa; Mollusca; Bivalvia; Ostreida; Ostreidae
Exons: 3
Source: RefSeq, a predicted model, not a curated record
AUAUCGGUUUUAAAGAUCUACAGUGAUAGAUCAAUCCAGAUUUCACGUGGUCAACCGUCAAGUCAACCAUCCCGAAUUUCAUUAAAAAGAAGCUUUUAAAAUGCCUAACAAGAAAUUUCUCAAUAAGAAGAGUAAAAGGGUGUCUGCUGCAAGGAGAUACAAAAUAGAGAAACUGGUUCGUCAGCACAAUAAAAAAGCCAAGAAAGAAGCCAAGAAAAAUCCCAACAAAUUUGUCAGUAAG